This 67-nucleotide transfer RNA is filed under the name Synapturanus sp. USNM 588794. RNAcentral's name for it is "tRNA-Met". Lineage: Eukaryota; Metazoa; Chordata; Amphibia; Anura; Microhylidae. The record is from RNAcentral.
GUAAGAUAAGCUAAUCAAGCUCCUGGGCCCAUACCCCAAAAAUGUAGGUCAACCCCUACUCUCACUA